AUAUCUUGAUAGUAGCACGGACGCCUCCGUACUACCAAGUUGUUUUCAAUAAUGCCGCUUUCAAAUCAACGAUCGGCUCCAUUAGACUUGAUCUACAUUAUUGAAAGUAUUUGCAAAUUAAAUUUCAUAAUUUUUCGGUAUUAUUUAACUAUCAAACGAGUAGUCUAAAAAUGAACGACUGAAAAUAAAAAUCUCGUAAAAAAUGAUGAUAGAAGUCUUGAAUUUAAGAUCAUAGGUACUGAUCUUACUUUAAAUAGUAAAAAAAAAAUUUAUAAAAAUUUCAUCUGAUUUGGAUUGUUUUAUACCAUUAAAUUUGCAAAUGCAUCACAUCUACCAUUAAAACUGUCAAUUUUAAGACAUUUUGAUCACUAGCCUAAUGAUGUCGAAAAAUUCUAAAAUUUAAUUUUCAAAUACUUUUAAUAGUGUAGAUUAAGUCUAACGGAGCUGAUCGUCGAUUUGGAAGCCGCAUCAUCAAAAACAACUUGGUAGUACGGAACCCCCUGUGCUACCGAUAGUAUAGUAGCCGGACUCCUAAUAUAACUAUUAUUAUUAUAAUGAUUCGUUGUUGCCUUAUUUGCUACUAGGAAAGCAAGGUGAUCACUCCCUAUCAUAUUUUUGCUAUUACUUUCCUUUUUACCUCAGGCUUUCGUUUGGUUCGGGGUUAAGUAAGAACUAGUUAUUUUAGGAAUAGGGUUAAGGAAGGGUUAAAGUAAUUUUAUGUUUAGUUGAGAAUUGGAUUUAGUGCAGAUAUAAGCAAAAUAGAGUUUGAUUGGAGUAAAUGAAAUAAAAAAAUAGUGGGUAAUUAUAAAUAAAAAAUAAUAAUAUUGUUCCAAUUAUUAUAUUUGAAUUUAAUUUUUUUAUUUUAUAUUUAAAAUUUUAAAUUUAAAUAGAUAACUUUUAAAAUUAAAAAUUAAAAAUUAAAAUCUAUAUUUUUAAAUCUCAAAUUUAAAAAUUAAAGUUAUAAAUUUUAAAUCAAAUCUAACAAAUAUAAAAUUUAAAAUAUAAAAUUUAAAUAGUUAAAAAUAACAAUUUAAAAUUAAAAAUUAAAAAUUAAAAAUUUAAAAAUAAAAAUAUUAUUUUUAAGAUUACAAAUUAAUCAUUUUUAAAAUUUCAAAUAUAA
RNAcentral lists this long non-coding RNA (1120 nucleotides) under Ananas comosus (pineapple). RNAcentral's name for it is "long non-coding RNA (ACOM_LNC040419)". The record is from RNAcentral. Lineage: Eukaryota; Viridiplantae; Streptophyta; Magnoliopsida; Poales; Bromeliaceae.